GAUGAACGCUGGCGGCGUGCCUAAUACAUGCAAGUCGAGCGAACGGACGAGAAGCUUGCUUCUCUGAUGUUAGCGGCGGACGGGUGAGUAACACGUGGAUAACCUACCUAUAAGACUGGGAUAACUUCGGGAAACCGUAGCUAAUACCGGAUAAUAUUUUGAACCGCAUGGUUCAAAAGUGAAAGACGGUCUUGCUGUCACUUAUAGAUGGAUCCGCGCUGCAUUAGCUAGUUGGUAAGGUAACGGCUUACCGAGGCAACGAUGCAUAGCCGACCUGAGAGGGUGAUCGGCCACCCUGGAACUGAGACACGGUCCAGACUCCUACGGGAGGCAGCAGUAGGGAAUCUUCCGCAAUGGGCGAAAGCCUGACGGAGCAACGCCGCGUGAGUGAUGAAGGUCUUCGGAUCGUAAAACUCUGUUAUUAGGGAAGAACAUAUGUGUAAGUAACUGUGCACAUCUUGACGGUACCUAAUCAGAAAGCCACGGCUAACUACGUG
RNAcentral lists this ribosomal RNA (497 nucleotides) under uncultured bacterium. Its description in RNAcentral is "partial 16S ribosomal RNA". It matches the Rfam family "Bacterial small subunit ribosomal RNA", at positions 28 to 507 of the family's 1533-position model. The record is from RNAcentral.